Molecule: ribosomal RNA, 397 nt
Filed under: uncultured bacterium
Lineage: Bacteria
Description: partial 16S ribosomal RNA
Rfam family: Bacterial small subunit ribosomal RNA
Source: RNAcentral
AUACGUAGGGGGCAAGCGUUAUCCGGAAUUACUGGGUGUAAAGGGAGCGCAGACGGCUAAGCAAGUCUGAUGUGAAAGUCAUGGGCUCAACCCAUGGAUUGCAUUGGAAACUGCGAAGCUGGAGUGUCGGAGGGGUAAGCGGAAUUCCUGGUGUAGCGGUGAAAUGCGUAGAUAUCAGGAGGAACACCGGUGGCGAAGGCGGCUUACUGGACGAUCACUGACGUUGAGGCUCGAAAGCGUGGGGAGCAAACAGGAUUAGAUACCCUGGUAGUCCACGCGGUAAACGAUGAAUACUAGGUGUCGGGGGGCGAAGCUCUUCGGUGCCGAAAGCAAACGCAGUAAGUAUUCCACCUGGGGAGUACGUUCGCAAGAAUGAAACUUAAAGGAAUUGACGGGG